AAACUGAAGAGUUUGAUCAUGGCUCAGAUUGAACGCUGGCGGUAUGCUUAACACAUGCAAGUCGAACGGUAGCAGGCCUUCGGGCGCUGACGAGUGGCGGACGGGUGAGUAAUGCAUAGGAAUCUGCCUCGUAGUGGGGGACAACUUAGGGAAACUUAAGCUAAUACCGCAUACGCCCUUCGGGGGAAAGCGGGGGCUCGCAAGACCUCGCGCUAUGAGAUGAGCCUAUGUUGGAUUAGCUAGUUGGUAGGGUAAAGGCCUACCAAGGCUGCGAUCCAUAGCUGGUCUGAGAGGAUGAUCAGCCACACUGGGACUGAGACACGGCCCAGACUCCUACGGGAGGCAGCAGUGGGGAAUAUUGGACAAUGGGCGCAAGCCUGAUCCAGCAAUACCGCGUGUGUGAAGAAGGCCUGAGGGUUGUAAAGCACUUUCAAUAGGGAGGAAAAAAGUAGGUUUAAUACAUCUGCUCUUGACAUUACCUAUAGAAGAAGCACCGGCUAACUCCGUGCCAGCAGCCGCGGUAAUACGGAGGGUGCGAGCGUUAAUCGGAAUUACUGGGCGUAAAGCGUGCGUAGGCGGCCUGUUAAGUCAGAUGUGAAAGCCCUGGGCUCAACCUGGGAACGGCAUUUGAAACUGGCAAGCUAGAGUUAGGUAGAGGGGAGUGGAAUUUCAGGUGUAGCGGUGAAAUGCGUAGAUAUCUGAAGGAACACCAGUGGCGAAGGCGGCUCCCUGGACCCAAACUGACGCUGAGGUACGAAAGCGUGGGUAGCAAACAGGAUUAGAUACCCUGGUAGUCCACGCUGUAAACGAUGUCGACUAGCCGUUGGGCCCUUCUAGGGUUUAGUGGCGCAGCUAACGCAUUAAGUCGACCGCCUGGGGAGUACGGCCGCAAGGUUAAAACUCAAAUGAAUUGACGGGGGCCCGCACAAGCGGUGGAGCAUGUGGUUUAAUUCGAUGCAACGCGAAGAACCUUACCUACCCUUGACAUCCUCAGAAUUUGGCAGAGAUGCCUUAGUGCCUUCGGGAACUGAGAGACAGGUGCUGCAUGGCUGUCGUCAGCUCGUGUUGUGAAAUGUUGGGUUAAGUCCCGUAACGAGCGCAACCCUCAUCCUUAGUUGCCAGCGGGUUAAGCCGGGAACUCUAGGGAGACUGCCGGUGAUAAACCGGAGGAAGGUGGGGACGACGUCAAGUCAUCAUGGCCCUUAUGGGUAGGGCUACACACGUGCUACAAUGGCCGGUACAGAGGGCUGCGAACUUGCAAAAGUAAGCUAAUCCCAUCAAAGUCGGUCUCAGUCCGGAUUGAGGUCUGCAACUCGACCUCAUGAAGUCGGAAUCGCUAGUAAUCGCGGAUCAGAAUGCCGCGGUGAAUACGUUCCCGGGCCUUGUACACACCGCCCGUCACACCAUGGGAGUGGGUUGCAAAAGAAGUAGGUAGUCUAACCGCAAGGAGGGCGCUUACCACUUUGUGAUUCAUGACUGGGGUGAAGUCGUAACAAGGUAGCCCUAGGGGAACCUGGGGCUGGAUCACCUCCUUA
This 1535-nucleotide ribosomal RNA is filed under the name Methylococcaceae bacterium. RNAcentral describes it as "bacterial SSU rRNA". It matches the Rfam family "Bacterial small subunit ribosomal RNA". The record is from RNAcentral. Lineage: Bacteria; Pseudomonadati; Pseudomonadota; Gammaproteobacteria; Methylococcales; Methylococcaceae.